This 1707-nucleotide ribosomal RNA is filed under the name Triticum aestivum (bread wheat). Its description in RNAcentral is "partial small subunit ribosomal RNA". Lineage: Eukaryota; Viridiplantae; Streptophyta; Magnoliopsida; Poales; Poaceae. The record is from RNAcentral.
AUGGCGUGCCAGCAGUCCCGCGCCUACGCGGCCAUCCUCCAGCGCAGCGCCGCCGCCGACCCCCGCCGCGUCGCCUCCCUCCACGCGGCGAUCCUCAAGCCGGGCCUCCUCGCCUGCGACCAGUUCCUGGCCAACCACCUCCUCAUCGCCUACUUCAGGUCGCCGCUCCGGCCCCGCCGCCACGGCCUCCGCCUGCUCGACGAAAUGCCCCGCCGCAACGCCGUCUCCUGGGCCGCCGCCGUCUCGGGGCUCGCGCACGGGGGCCGGCCCCGCGAGGCGCUCGCGCUCUUCCGCGCGAUGCGCCGCGAGGGGGCCCCGCCCAGCGUGUUCGCGCUCGUCAGCGCGCUCAACGCCAGCUCGCUCGUCGCCCCCGGCGGCGCGCACGCGCGGCAGCUCUACGCCCUCGCCGUCCGGCUCGGCUUCGAGUCCCACGCCUUCGUGCUGAACGCGUUCCUCGCGGCGAUGGUCCGGCACGAGCGGCUCGCCGACGCCGUGCGGCUGUUCGAGUGGGCCUCCGGGCGCCGCGACGUCGUCUCGUGGAACACGCUGCUCGCCGGGCUCGCGCGCCGCUCGCGCACGCGCAUGUGGAUUCUCUGGCGGAGGAUGGCCCGGGAAGGCGCCGGGGCCGACGGGUUCUCGUUCAGCACCGUGCUCUCGGGGCUGACGGCCGAUGCCGACACGGUGAGCGGUUUGCAGGUCCACGGACAGCUUGUCAAGAGCGGCUUCGGCGACGAUGUCUGCGUGGGCAACUCCCUGGUGGAGAUGUACACGAAGAAUGGGGCCCUGGAGUCCGGCGCCAAAGCGUUCGCCGAGAUGCCCCAAAGAGACGUCGUGUCGUGGACGGAGAUGGCCGCCGGUUGGCUGCACUGUGGCGAGCCCGCCAAGGCCAUCGGAGUCCUUGGUCCCAUGAUGCUCGAAGGAAUUAGGCCGAACAACUACACAUUGGCGACGGCAGCCAAUGCCUGCGCGACCCUCGCCGGUCCGAGCGAAGGGCGCAAGGUUCAUGGAUACGCCAUCAGACUGGGAGAGGGCUCCGAUGUCGCCGUGAACAACGCGCUCAUCGACAUGUACUCCAAGUGCGGCCUGGUGGACACCGCGCACAGGGUGUUCCAAUCGAUGCGGCAGCGGCCCGUCAUAUCCUGGACAACGAUGAUCAUGGGGUUCGCGCGGAACGGGCAACCUCAGGACGCCGUGAAGGUGUUCGACGACAUGCUUCUGGAAGGCGUCGCGCCUAACCACGUCACGUUCCUCUGCGUCCUCCAUGCCUGCAGCCAAGGCGGGUUCAUGGAGGAAGCCUGGAUAUACUUCAGAGCCAUGGCAGACAAGUUCGGCGUCGAGCCUGGAGAGGACCACUACGCCUGCAUGGUCGAUCUCCUCGGGAAAGCAGGCCAUAUAGAGGACGCCGAGGAGCUGAUAUCGCGGAUGCCUUUCCGCCCCGGGGUUCUGGUCUGGCAGGCGUUGCUUGGCGCCUGUCAACUCCAUGGCAAUGAGGCUGCAGCGAAGCGAGCUGCAGAGCGCGCGCUCGCGCUCGAGAAGGAAGACCCGUCGACAUACCUGCUGCUGUCGAGGACGCUCGCGAGUCGGCACGAUUGGGGCGGCGCCGGAAGGUCGAGAGGGCUCAUGGGGGACAGAGAAGUCAUGAAGCUGCCUGGGUCUACCUGGUUGCAGUCCAUGCCCGAGACUGAGAGUGCCCAGGCUUGCACAGCA